RNAcentral lists this long non-coding RNA (767 nucleotides) under Papio anubis (olive baboon). RNAcentral's name for it is "lncRNA (ENSPANG00000042859.1)". The record is from RNAcentral. Lineage: Eukaryota; Metazoa; Chordata; Mammalia; Primates; Cercopithecidae.
GCACUCCAGCCUGCAUAAUAGAGUGAAAAUGUGUGAGAGAAAAAAAAAAGGCAACCCACACUUUGGGAACACUGAGCUACUCUUUAUGAUAUCCAAUUACCCUGAAGCUGCAUGUUGGAAAGGCCAUGUGGAGAUAUCAUGUAGAGGGAGAGAGAGGCCCAAUGAACCUCAACUAUUUUAGCUCUCAUUUUUGCAUCUUCCUAGUGAACUGACAGACAAAGGCUGGGAGCUGGAACCUUCUGAAGGCUCAUUCACUUGCAUGUCUGUCAUGAAGCUUCAGGGCAGCUCCAGCUGAUGCCAGGCUACUGGGUGAAUAUAACACAGGAGAUAUUUCUUCAGGGCCUCUGGGAAGCUAGAGAAAGAAAGAAUAAUUGAAGUGGUCCAGAAGGAAGAGAAACAUGUGACAGGCUAUGCCUGGUACCUCCAGACCAGAGGAGAGAACUCGGGAAAGCAGCAGGCAGUCCAGAAUGGCGAUGGGAAGAUCCAGAGGCAGCAAAGGCUUCUCUCCGCCAUGUGAAAGGCCUGAGUUUAGAUACCUCAGGGAAGUUUUAAUGCCAACCUUCUGUAAAACCCCCAUUCUCUAACGUAUGGCUUUAAUUAACAAUCAUGUAUCACUAUUGGUUUGUUAAUCAUAGCAAAUGGACCAUACUCCUGUAAGAUGUUAUCAACAGGAAAAAUUGAGGGAGAGGUAUAUGAAGCUCUGCACUAUCCUUGCAAUUUUUCUGUAAAUCUAAAACUGUUGUAAAAAAAAAUAAAGUUGGGGGAGG